GUCUUUUUGAGUUUAAUUUAAGGUCUGAUCUGCCCACUGAUAAUAUUUAAGGGCCGCAGUAUUCUGACUGUGCAAAGGUAGCAUAAUCAUUAGUCUUUUAAUUGAGGGCUUGUAUGAAUGAUUGGACGAGAUAUAAUCUGUCUCAUAAAAAUUUAAGUAGAAUUUUAUUUUUUAGUUAAAAAGCUAAAAUAAGUUUAAAAGACGAGAAGACCCUAUAGAUCUUUAUAACUUAUUUAUUAAUUUUUUUAGGUUAUUUUUUAAUUUUAUAAAUUAAAUUAUUUUGUUGGGGUGACAGUGAAAUUUAAAAAACUUUCAUAAUUUUUAUUACAUUGAUUUAUGAAAAAUUGAUCCAUUUUUAAUGAUUAAAAAUUUAAGUUACCUUAGGGAUAACAGCGUAAUUAUUUUGGAGAGUUCUUAUCGAUAAAAUAGUUUGCGACCUCGAUGUUGGAUUAAGAUUAAUUCUGGGUGUAGCAGUUCAGGUUAUUAAGUCUGUUCGACUUUUAAUUUCUU
RNAcentral lists this ribosomal RNA (510 nucleotides) under Gymnopternus celer. RNAcentral's name for it is "partial 16S ribosomal RNA". It matches the Rfam family "Bacterial large subunit ribosomal RNA", at positions 1819 to 2597 of the family's 2925-position model. The record is from RNAcentral. Lineage: Eukaryota; Metazoa; Arthropoda; Insecta; Diptera; Dolichopodidae.